RNAcentral lists this transfer RNA (74 nucleotides) under Haloactinopolyspora alba. Its description in RNAcentral is "Nocardioidaceae bacterium YIM 93246 tRNA". It matches the Rfam family "tRNA". Rfam says of the family: Transfer RNA (tRNA) molecules are approximately 80 nucleotides in length. Their secondary structure includes four short double-helical elements and three loops (D, anti-codon, and T loops). The record is from Rfam by way of RNAcentral. Lineage: Bacteria; Bacillati; Actinomycetota; Actinomycetes; Jiangellales; Jiangellaceae.
GCCCGAAUAGCUCAGCUGGUCAGAGCAAUCGCCUUGUAAGCGAUAGGUCGUCGGUUCGAAUCCGACUUCGGGCU